AGUGAACGCUGGCGGUAGGCCUAACACGUGCAAGUCGAACGGCAGCACAGUAAGAGCUUGCUCUUACGGGUGGCGAGUGGCGGACGGGUGAGGAAUACAUCUGAAUCUACUUUUUCGUGGGGGAUAACGUAGGGAAACUUACGCUAAUACCGCAUACGACCUACGGGUGAAAGCAGGGGAUCUUCGGACCUUGCGCGAUUGAAUGAGCCGAUGUCGGACUAGCUAGUUGGCGGGGUAAAGGCCCACCAAGGCGACGAUCCGUAGCUGGUCUGAGAGGAUGAUCAGCCACACUGGAACUGAGACACGGUCCAGACUCCUACGGGAGGCAGCAGUGGGGAAUAUUGGACAAUGGGCGCAAGCCUGAUCCAGCCAUACCGCGUGGGUGAAGAAGGCCUUCGGGUUGUAAAGCCCUUUUGUUGGGAAAGAAAAGCAGCAGGUUAAUACCCCGCUGUUCUGACGGUACCCAAAGAAUAAGCACCGGCUAACUUCGUG
This 492-nucleotide ribosomal RNA is filed under the name uncultured bacterium. RNAcentral describes it as "partial 16S ribosomal RNA". It matches the Rfam family "Bacterial small subunit ribosomal RNA", at positions 29 to 507 of the family's 1533-position model. The record is from RNAcentral.